ACAAGCCAGAUAAGGGCGUAUGGGGAAUGCCUAGGCUCUCAGAGGCGAUGAAGGACGUGAUAAGCUGCGAAAAGCCGCGGGGAUCGGCACACACGAAUUGAUCCGCGGGUAUCCGAAUGGGGCAACCCGGCAUAUUGAAGAUAUGCCAUCCCGCAAGGGGGGCAAACCCGGUGAACUGAAACAUCUAAGUAGCCGGAGGAGGAGAAAACAAAAGUGAUUCCGAUAGUAGCGGCGAGCGAAAUCGGAUUGGCCCAAACCAAUGUUGUCUCGGCAAUAUUGGGGUUGUAGGACCACGAUGUUGGACGUGCGAUGAACUGGAAUACCUUGGAAAGGGUAACCGUAGAGGGUGACAGUCCCGUAUAGGUAAAGAACAUUGUCCAUAGUGGUAUCCUGAGUAGUGCGGGGCACGUGAAACCCUGUAUGAAUCCGGCGGGACCAUCCGCCAAGGCUAAAUACUCCUGAGAGACCGAUAGAGAACCAGUACCGUGAGGGAAAGGUGAAAAGAAAGCGGUCGGAGCAGUGCUUGCACUGUGACGGCGUGCCUUUUGCAUAAUGAGCCUACGAGUUACUUUUACUGGCAAGGUUAAGUCCUUCAGGGACGGAGCCGUAGCGAAAGCGAGUCUUAAUAGGGCGCCACAGUCAGUAGUAGUAGACGCGAAACCGUGCGAUCUACCCAUGGGCAGGUUGAAGCUGUGGUAACACACAGUGGAGGACCGAACCCGUUGACGUUGAAAAGUCUUGGGAUGACCUGUGGGUAGGGGUGAAAGGCCAAUCAAGCUCGGAAAUAGCUCGUACUCCCCGAAAUGCAUUUAGGUGCAGCGUGUAGAUAGUUUCAUAGAGGUAGAGCUACUGAUUGGAUGCGGGGGCUUCACCGCCUACCAAUUCCUGACAAACUCCGAAUGCUAUGAAAUGUUUCUGCGCAGUGAGGGCAUGGGUGCUAAGGUCCAUGUCCGAAAGGGAAAGAACCCGGACCAUCGGCUAAGGUCCCAAAGUGUGUGCUAAGUUGACAAAACGCGGUGGAACUGCAUUGACAGCCAGGAUGUUGGCUUGGAAGCAGCCAUUCAUUUAAAGAGUGCGUAACAGCUCACUGGUCGAGCGGUUCCGCAUGGAUAAUGAUCGGGCAUAAGCACACCACCGAAGCCAUGGCUUCCAUCGUAAGAUGGAGGGGUAGGGGAGCAUUGUAGUGCCGCUGAAGGCGUACCUGCGAGGGAUGCUGGAGGAGCUACAAACGAAAAUGUAGGCAUAAGUAACGAUAAUGUGGGCGAGAAACCCACACGCCGAAAGACCAAGGUUUCCCCAGCUAUGCUAAUCAGCUGGGGGUCAGUCGGGACCUAACGCAGACCCGAAGGGGGAAGUGGAUGGGCAACAGGUCAAUAUUCCUGUACCCGCUCGCAUUGAAAGCGACGGAGGCGAGGAGUUGGUGCGUGCAGACGGAAUUGCACGUUGAAGCGAGUGGCAACACCGCGAUAGUACACCGAGGCUACGGCCGAGGUGAUAAUCCAGCGUAUCGACUUCCAAGAAAAGCAAGCGAAGCGGCCCGUACCCUAAACCGACACAGGUGGUUGGGAUGAGAAUUCUAAGGCGCUCGAGAGAUUCAUGGCUAAGGAACUAGGCAAAAUAGACCCGUAACUUCGGGAGAAGGGUCGCCCUGACGGUAAUACGUCAGGGCCGCAGUGAAGAGGUCCAGGCGACUGUUUAUCAAAAACACAGGGCUCUGCUAAAUCGAGAGAUGAAGUAUAGGGCCUGACACCUGCCCGGUGCUGGAAGGUUAAGAGGAGAUGUCAUCUUCGGAGAAGCAUUGAAUUGAAGCCCCAGUAAACGGCGGCCGUAACUAUAACGGUCCUAAGGUAGCGAAAUUCCUUGUCGGGUAAGUUCCGACCUGGAAGAUGCCGGUUACCCGCAGUGGGACGAAAAGACCCCGUGCACCUUUACUAUAGCUUCGUAUUGACCUUGGUCAAGCAAUGUGUAGGAUAGCUGGGAGACUUUGAGGCCGCAUCGCCAGGUGUGGUGGAGUCGUUGUUGAAAUACCAGCCUUUGCUUGUCCGGGGCCUAACCCUCCAAGAGGGGACAGUGCGUGGUGGGUAGUUUGACUGGGGUGGUCGCCUCCAAAAGAGUAACGGAGGCUUCUAAAGGUGCCCUCAAUACGGUUGGCAAUCGUGUGUAGAGUGCAAUGGCACAAGGGCGCUUGACUGUGAGACAUACAGGUCGAACAGGUUGGAAACAAGAGCAUAGUGAUCCGGUGGUUCCGUAUGGAAGGGCCAUCGCUCAAAGGAUAAAAGGUACGCCGGGGAUAACAGGCUGAUCUCCCCCAAGAGCUCAUAU
This 2322-nucleotide ribosomal RNA is filed under the name oral metagenome. Its description in RNAcentral is "bacterial LSU rRNA". It matches the Rfam family "Bacterial large subunit ribosomal RNA", at positions 1 to 2505 of the family's 2925-position model. The record is from RNAcentral.